RNAcentral lists this long non-coding RNA (1134 nucleotides) under Canis lupus familiaris (dog). Its description in RNAcentral is "lncRNA (ENSCAFG00030000002.1)". The record is from RNAcentral. Lineage: Eukaryota; Metazoa; Chordata; Mammalia; Carnivora; Canidae.
AUGACUGCUUGUCUUGCUGCCUGCCCCAAAUGGCGACUUCUUUCCCCUUGCAUUUUUCUCCUUCUCAACUCAGCUGACCCCUUUUCAGACUCAGAGCAGGGAACACACAGAAAACCCUUCACUCCAAGGCCUAGAUACAAAACCCGCCGCGGGGAGGGCUCCCGCCCCACAGAUGAUGAUUUGCAUUCUAUUUACAUGCUAUUUGCAUGCAGCUUAACUCGAAGUCAAAACCCACCCAGGGCCCCCACCCCACCGAGGAAACUUCUGAAUCAAGGUUCCUUGGCUGAAGUUCCCGUGGCUUUUGUGCCUCACUUUCCCCCUCACUUCUCUCGUCUUUUCGAGGACCCCCGGUUCCUCCCCCUGGGCUCUGCUCAAGUACCCCCCAUCCUGGCGCAGCUGGGCAGCCAGUGUGGCGCGUGGGCCGGGGCCCCGGGCAGGGACGCCGCUGCCCGCCACACUCCAGGGGCCUUUGUCCGCGCUCCAAGGAGCCGCCCCCUUCGCGAACGGGGAACGAGUUGGGAGGCGGGGGGCGGGGGGCGGGGGGCGGGGGGGCUGGCUAGGCCUGGGUGUGACAGCGGGGGCCAGGGGACGAACUCGCGAGCCGCGCUGGGGCCGUCCUCUACCGCAAGGUCGGCGCCCCGCUCCCCCGGGGCCCAGGCGGGUGCCGGCGUUGGGGACCCCGGGAUGUGCGGGGCUGGGAGCCCGCGUCCCGCAAGGGCAGCGAAGGCACCACUGCACGGGCUAGUCCUCAGCCCCAGCCAGCCGCUCGCCAUUGUAUGCAGCCGUCCCUCGGCCCCAGGUCUCCGCUCGGCCGCCCUCCACCCCCUCCUCCCCGCCCCGCGCGCUGCUCGCUCCUCGUCCCGUAGUGCGCAGGCACCGCCGGCUGCAAGCCUGGCCCCCGGCCCCUGCGGCAGGUGCCGCCGCUCACCCCCAGAGCCCGGCCCCCGUGAGCAGGCUCCGUCUGCCCUGCGGUCAGCCCCCACGGGCGGAGCACGCGGCCCCGGACCUGCCCGCGGCUCUCCGCACGAGUCACCGGGUGCGGCUGGACUCCCUCGCGCUACUCCCAGCUGUCCUUUACCUGUGGUCGCCCCCAGACCCUGCUCUGAGACUCCGAUCUCCACCUGGUCCGGGUAG